ACGUAGGGGGCAAGCGUUAUCCGGAAUCACUGGGCGUAAAGGGUGCGUAGGUGGUUCCUCAAGUCAGAAGUGAAAGGCAGUGGCUUAACCACUGUAAGCUUUUGAAACUGAGGAACUUGAGUGCAGGAGAGGUAAGUGGAAUUCCUAGUGUAGCGGUGAAAUGCGUAGAUAUUAGGAGGAACACCAGUGGCGAAGGCGACUUACUGGACUGUAACUGACACUGAGGCACGAAAGCGUGGGGAGCGAACAG
This 250-nucleotide ribosomal RNA is filed under the name uncultured prokaryote. Its description in RNAcentral is "partial 16S rRNA". It matches the Rfam family "Bacterial small subunit ribosomal RNA", at positions 525 to 775 of the family's 1533-position model. The record is from RNAcentral.